This 465-nucleotide ribosomal RNA is filed under the name uncultured bacterium. RNAcentral describes it as "partial 16S ribosomal RNA". It matches the Rfam family "Bacterial small subunit ribosomal RNA", at positions 28 to 507 of the family's 1533-position model. The record is from RNAcentral.
GACGAACGCUGGCGGCGUGCUUAACACAUGCAAGUCGAACGGAAAGGCCCUGCUUGCAGGGUACUCGAGUGGCGAACGGGUGAGUAACACGUGGGUGAUCUGCCCUGCACUUCGGGAUAAGCCUGGGAAACUGGGUCUAAUACCGGAUAGGAGCCAUCUUUAGUGUGAUGGUUGGAAAGUUUUUUCGGUGUAGGAUGAGCUCGCGGCCUAUCAGCUUGUUGGUGGGGUAAUGGCCUACCAAGGCGGCGUCGGGUAGCCGGCCUGGGGGGGUGGACGGCCACAAUGGGACCUAGAAUCGGCCCAGGCUCCUACGGGAGGGAGCAGGGGGGAAUAUUGCACAAGGGGCGCAAGCCUGAUGCAGCGACGCCGCGUGGGGGAUGACGGCCUUCGGGUUGUAAACUCCUUUCGCUAGGGACGAAGCUUUUUGUGACGGUACCUAGAUAAGAAGCACCGGCUAACUACGUG